GACGUAGGGCGCGAGCGUUGUCCGGAUUUAUUGGGCGUAAAGAGCUCGUAGGCGGCUUGUCGCGUCGAAUGUGAAAUCUCAGGGCUCAACUCUGACAUUGCAUUCGAUACGGGCAGGCUCGAGUUCGGUAGGGGAGACUGGAAUUCCUGGUGUAGCGGUGAAAUGCGCAGAUAUCAGGAGGAACACCAGUGGCGAAGGCGAUCACCUGGGGUUGUUCUGACGCUGAGGAGCGAAAGCUAGGGGAGCAAACGGG
Molecule: ribosomal RNA, 253 nt
Filed under: uncultured bacterium
Lineage: Bacteria
Description: partial 16S ribosomal RNA
Rfam family: Bacterial small subunit ribosomal RNA
Source: RNAcentral